GAGAGCAGUUUCUUUCCUCCUCAUUGUCCCCGAGUUGUUGACCUGUGCCAGUUCACUGUGCACCUUAGUUUUCUUUGUGUCUGAGACUCACCUGGAGGGGAGACAGUCAUUCUUUCCUGUGAUUCCCCAGCUACAGCGCCUGAGGCUGAAUCCUGGCUGAGGGAAAGUUUGGGUUGAUGCCAAAGCUGGUCGUCCAGCCCUAUCCACCACUGCUGACAGGUAUCAAAUCAGGAUUAACUGCCCAGAUGGGGAGCCCCUUGUACAAUGCACUGCCUGCUGAUGGAUGUCUUACCAGACAUGGUUAGAUCUGGAUGUAUCUGUCUAAUACUGUCUGGUAAUGCCGUCCAUCCAUGGCCUUAUCGCCGCCGGAGACGACAUCCUCACCACCUCAUGGACAAUGGGUAGAGACAAGGCCUUAGUCCAUUUAUCAUAACUGUCCAGGGCUGGGGCCACCAAGCCCCCUAUCCAAACAGACCACAGUUUAAAUCUACAGCUCCCCCUGGACCUGAUUGCCUUCUUCUGACGCUGUGAUAAUUUUCUGUCAUAGCUAUAGCAGAUUGAGGCCCCUGUAUCUGUCCUUUUCAGGACUAGUCGGUGGGGCUGUCACAGUGCUAUUGCCCCCCAUAGUCCACUGGACUCCACACAGAGGGACCUCAAGCUGUAGUCACCUGUCACCUGCAUAUUCUAUAGCCCCUGAGCUAUCAACAUUGGUAUGGGACCAGGGAAGAUCUAAAACCUUGGUCCUCAGUCUGCUCUCUGAAAUUCUCAGGUCAUGGGACCCAAGGGGAAUAAAAAUGGUUCUAACUACUGUGCCCAAACCCAGGGUGGAAAAUAGGUAUAUGGGUUUCAGGGACAGGGGUACUGCUAAGGUGCCAGACCAGAUAGUGGCUCAUACCCAGGAAUAAGCAGAAGGCUGCGUUCCUCUGUAUUGUCAGCCUGCUCAUGAGCUCUCUCUAUGCAGCCCACCCCUGGCUCUCAGGAUCAGAGAGCCAUCCUUCAAUCUAACUCUGGAUGUUGAAUAGCCCAACCUUAAAGACCGCCCACCCCCGUGUCCCUGAGAAUUUUCAAAAGACUGUUUCUAAAACUGUCACUCUAGAAUGACACUCCCCACCCUUAUGUCAUUUGCUGUGGUAAGAAAUAGAAAUGAACCUCUUAGACUCCAUGUGUAGGCCGUUUGCUUCAGUGCCUAGACUCCUGCAAACCUCAAGUUGGUCAAUACAGCCUGAGUCCAGCACCCUACCUCACCCACUCCUCUCUUGACGGAAUCCAACAUGCUCUGGCAGGUUUCUUAGUCCUGGUCAGGCCAUUCCCUCCAAAGAGCCAUUAUAGGGAAACUGGACUUUGCCUCCCACUGAAACCUGCUAUGCCCUAAAUGAGUGACUGAAUCCUGCAUUGGAAGUUCUAUCUACAUGGCUGAGGGACUUGUCUGCCCAUUGUGCACUCUGUAAUAGGUGGUCUCCUUAUUGUCAUCUCUUGAAGCAUUGUAAAUAAAAUACAGGCCAAAAAAAAAAAAAUCUCUGUAAGGCAAUAAAUUGUGUGAUUUGUGAAA
Molecule: long non-coding RNA, 1549 nt
Organism: Rattus norvegicus (Norway rat)
Lineage: Eukaryota; Metazoa; Chordata; Mammalia; Rodentia; Muridae
Exons: 2
Source: RefSeq, marked validated